This 523-nucleotide ribosomal RNA is filed under the name uncultured bacterium. Its description in RNAcentral is "partial 16S ribosomal RNA". It matches the Rfam family "Bacterial small subunit ribosomal RNA", at positions 28 to 523 of the family's 1533-position model. The record is from RNAcentral.
GACGAACGCUGGCGGCGUGCCUAAUACAUGCAAGUCGAACGCUUUUUCUUUCACCGGAGCUUGCUCCACCGAAAGAAAAAGAGUGGCGAACGGGUGAGUAACACGUGGGUAACCUGCCCAUCAGAAGGGGAUAACACUUGGAAACAGGUGCUAAUACCGUAUAACACUAUUUUCCGCAUGGCAGAAAGUUGAAAGGCGCUUUUGCGUCACUGAUGGAUGGACCCGCGGUGCAUUAGCGAGUUGGUGAGGUAACGGCUCACCAAGGCAACGAUGCAUAGCCGACCUGGGAGGGUGAUCGGCCACACUGGGACUGAGACACGGCCCAGACUCCUACGGGAGGCAGCAGUAGGGAAUCUUCGGCAAUGGACGAAAGUCUGACCGAGCAACGCCGCGUGAGUGAAGAAGGUUUUCGGAUCGUAAAACUCUGUUGUUAGAGAAGAACAAGGAUGAGAGUAAAAUGUUCAUCCCUUGACGGUAUCUAACCAGAAAGCCACGGCUAACUACGCGCCAGCAGCCGCCGUAA